This 774-nucleotide ribosomal RNA is filed under the name uncultured Neocallimastigales. Its description in RNAcentral is "partial large subunit ribosomal RNA". It matches the Rfam family "Eukaryotic large subunit ribosomal RNA", at positions 24 to 644 of the family's 3401-position model. The record is from RNAcentral. Lineage: Eukaryota; Fungi; Neocallimastigomycota; Neocallimastigomycetes; Neocallimastigales.
UAUGUGAUCGUCUCUCGCAUAUCAAUAAGCGGAGGAAAAGAAACUAACAAGGAUUCCCCUAGUAACGGCGAGUGAAGCGGGAAGAGCUCAAAUUUGAAAUCUUAAAGGGUUUCCCUUUACGAAUUGUAGUUUAAAGAAGUGUUUUCUGUUGAGGUUUUGGUAAAAGUUCUUUGGAAUAGGACAUCAUAGAGGGUGAGAAUCCCGUAUUUGACCUUUACUUUCAACUUUGUGAUACACUUUCAAAGAGUCGGAUUGUUUGGGAAUGCAGUCCAAAAUGGGUGGUAAAUUUCAUCUAAAGCUAAAUAUUGGCGAGAGACCGAUAGCGAACAAGUACCGUGAGGGAAAGAUGAAAAGAACUUUGGAAAGAGAGUUAAACAGUACGUGAAAUUGUCAAAAGGGAAGCGUUUGACACCAGUGUUGUUUUUCUGAAAAUCAAUUAAAGAACUGUUUAUGCUAAGUUGUUUAGACUUUAUCAGCUAACUGUUUAGUUUUGAGCUUUUCUUUAAUGCACUUUUCAGUUAACAAGUCAACAUCAAUUUCUUUUGCUGUAAAAAAGCUUGAGGAAGGUGGCUUGAGAUUCGUCUUAAGUGUUUAUAGCCUCUUGCCUAUGCAGUCGGAGAGAUUGAGGUCUGCAGCGUAGAUCCUUCGGGGCUAAAUGCAUUUGUGCUAAGUUAUAGCAUUUUAUAGACAACUUGUUGACUAUGAUUUGUCUUGUAGCUUACUCGCUUAUGUUAUUUUACCUACGCUUAGGAUGUUGAAGAUAUGCGCGACACG